GCAGCGACAGUGCCCAGGGCUCUGAUGUGUCUCUCACAGCUUGAAAAGCCUGAGACAGCUGCCUGUGUGGGACUGAGAUGCAGGAUUUCUUCACACCUCUCCUUUGUGACUUCAAGAGCCUCUGGCAUCUCUUUCUGCAAAGGCACCUGAAUGUGUCUGCGUUCCUGUUAGCAUAAUGUGAGGAGGUGGAGAGACAGCCCACCCCCGUGUCCACCGUGACCCCUGUCCCCACACUGACCUGUGUUCCCUCCCCGAUCAUCUUUCCUGUUCCAGAGAGGUGGGGCUGGAUGUCUCCAUCUCUGUCUCAAAUUCAUGGUGCACUGAGCUGCAACUUCUUACUUCCCUAAUGAAGUUAAGAACCUGAAUAUAAAUUUGUGUUCUCAAAUAUUUGCUAUGAAGCGUUGAUGGAUUAAUUAAAUAAGUCAAUUCCUAGAAGUUGAGAGAGCAAAUAAAGACCUGAGAACCUUC
This 468-nucleotide long non-coding RNA is filed under the name Homo sapiens (human). Its description in RNAcentral is "non-protein coding lnc-HLA-C-2:3". Lineage: Eukaryota; Metazoa; Chordata; Mammalia; Primates; Hominidae. The record is from RNAcentral.